UACGUAGGGUGCGAGCGUUAAUCGGAAUUACUGGGCGUAAAGCGUGCGCAGGCGGUUUUGUAAGCCAGAUGUGAAAUCCCCCGGGCUUAACCUGGGAAUGGCAUUUGGGACUGGCAAGGCUUGAGUGCGGCAGAGGAGACUGGAAUUCCUGGUGUAGCAGUGAAAUGCGUAGAUAUCAGGAGGAACACCGGGUGGCGAAGGGCGG
Molecule: ribosomal RNA, 205 nt
Filed under: uncultured bacterium
Lineage: Bacteria
Description: partial 16S ribosomal RNA
Rfam family: Bacterial small subunit ribosomal RNA
Source: RNAcentral